RNAcentral lists this ribosomal RNA (253 nucleotides) under uncultured bacterium. RNAcentral describes it as "partial 16S ribosomal RNA". It matches the Rfam family "Bacterial small subunit ribosomal RNA", at positions 524 to 776 of the family's 1533-position model. The record is from RNAcentral.
UACGUAGGGUGCAAGCGUUAAUCGGAAUUACUGGGCGUAAAGCGUGCGCAGGCGGUUCGCUAAGACAGAUGUGAAAUCCCCGGGCUUAACCUGGGAACUGCAUUUGUGACUGGGGGGCUAGAGUAUGGCAGAGGGGGGUAGAAUUCCACGUGUAGCAGUGAAAUGCGUAGAGAUGUGGAGGAAUACCGAUGGCGAAGGCAGCCCCCUGGGCCAAUACUGACGCUCAUGCACGAAAGCGUGGGGGGCAAACAGG